This 274-nucleotide ribosomal RNA is filed under the name uncultured bacterium. RNAcentral's name for it is "partial 16S ribosomal RNA". It matches the Rfam family "Bacterial small subunit ribosomal RNA", at positions 523 to 796 of the family's 1533-position model. The record is from RNAcentral.
AUACGGAGGGUGCAAGCGUUAUUCGGGAUCACUGGGCGUAAAGGACGCGUAGGCGGGUUGGCAAGUCAGAUGUGAAAUCCUACAGCUUAACUGUAGAACUGCAUUUGAAACUGCUAACCUAGAGUAUGUGAGGGGGAGAUGGAAUUAGUGGUGUAGGGGUAAAAUCCGUAGAUAUCACUAGGAAUACCGAAAGCGAAGGCGAUCUCCUGGAACAUAACUGACGCUAAGGCGUGAAAGCGUGGGGAGCAAACAGAAUUAGAAACCCUAGUAGUCC